UACGAAGGGGGCUAGCGUUGCUCGGAAUCACUGGGCGUAAAGCGCACGUAGGCGGAUUCCUAAGUCGGGGGUGAAAUCCUGGAGCUUAACUCCAGAACUGCCUUCGAUACUGGGAAUCUUGAGUCCGGAAGAGGUGAGUGGAACUGCGAGUGUAGAGGUGAAAUUCGUAGAUAUUCGCAAGAACACCAGUGGCGAAGGCGGCUCACUGGUCCGGUACUGACGCUGAGGUGCGAAAGCGUGGGGAGCAAACAGGG
This 254-nucleotide ribosomal RNA is filed under the name uncultured bacterium. Its description in RNAcentral is "partial 16S ribosomal RNA". It matches the Rfam family "Bacterial small subunit ribosomal RNA", at positions 524 to 777 of the family's 1533-position model. The record is from RNAcentral.